GCCGGGGUGGCGGAACUGGUAGACGCGCCGGAUUCAAAAUCCGGUUCCUUCACGGGAGUGUCGGUUCGAUUCCGACCCUCGGUACUA
Molecule: transfer RNA, 87 nt
Filed under: Gammaproteobacteria bacterium
Lineage: Bacteria; Pseudomonadati; Pseudomonadota; Gammaproteobacteria
Description: tRNA-Leu
Rfam family: tRNA
About the family: Transfer RNA (tRNA) molecules are approximately 80 nucleotides in length.
Source: RNAcentral